Molecule: transfer RNA, 71 nt
Filed under: Bacteriophage sp.
Description: tRNA-Trp
Rfam family: tRNA
About the family: Transfer RNA (tRNA) molecules are approximately 80 nucleotides in length. Their secondary structure includes four short double-helical elements and three loops (D, anti-codon, and T loops).
Source: RNAcentral
GGAUUGGUGUUUAACGGUUAGCACGUCGGUCUCCAAAACCGAAAGUAAGGGUUCGAAUCCUUUAUCCUAUG